GAUGAACGCUGGCGGCGUGCCUAAUACAUGCAAGUCGAGCGAACGGACGAGAAGCUUGCUUCUCUGAUGUUAGCGGCGGACGGGUGAGUAACACGUGGAUAACCUACCUAUAAGACUGGGAUAACUUCGGGAAACCGGAGCUAAUACCGGAUAAUAUUUUGAACCGCAUGGUUCAAAAGUGAAAGACGGUCUUGCUGUCACUUAUAGAUGGAUCCGCGCUGCAUUAGCUAGUUGGUAAGGUAACGGCUUACCAAGGCAACGAUGCAUAGCCGACCUGAGAGGGUGAUCGGCCACACUGGAACUGAGACACGGUCCAGACUCCUACGGGAGGCAGCAGUAGGGAAUCUUCCGCAAUGGGCGAAAGCCUGACGGAGCAACGCCGCGUGAGUGAUGAAGGUCUUCGGAUCGUAAAACUCUGUUAUUAGGGAAGAACAUAUGUGUAAGUAACUGUGCACAUCUUGACGGUACCUAAUCAGAAAGCCACGGCUAACUACGUGCCAGCAGCCGCGGUAAUACGUAGGUGGCAAGCGUUAUCCGGAAUUAUUGGGCGUAAAGCGCGCGUAGGCGGUUUUUUAAGUCUGAUGUGAAAGCCCACGGCUCAACCGUGGAGGGUCAUUGGAAACUGGAAAACUUGAGUGCAGAAGAGGAAAGUGGAAUUCCAUGUGUAGCGGUGAAAUGCGCAGAGAUAUGGAGGAACACCAGUGGCGAAGGCGACUUUCUGGUCUGUAACUGACGCUGAUGUGCGAAAGCGUGGGGAUCAAACAGGAUUAGAUACCCUGGUAGUCCACGCCGUAAACGAUGAGUGCUAAGUGUUAGGGGGUUUCCGCCCCUUAGUGCUGCAGCUAACGCAUUAAGCACUCCGCCUGGGGAGUACGACCGCAAGGUUGAAACUCAAAGGAAUUGACGGGGACCCGCACAAGCGGUGGAGCAUGUGGUUUAAUUCGAAGCAACGCGAAGAACCUUACCAAAUCUUGACAUCCUUUGACAACUCUAGAGAUAGAGCUUUCCCCUUCGGGGGACAAAGUGACAGGUGGUGCAUGGUUGUCGUCAGCUCGUGUCGUGAGAUGUUGGGUUAAGUCCCGCAACGAGCGCAACCCUUAAGCUUAGUUGCCAUCAUUAAGUUGGGCACUCUAAGUUGACUGCCGGUGACAAACCGGAGGAAGGUGGGGAUGACGUCAAAUCAUCAUGCCCCUUAUGAUUUGGGCUACACACGUGCUACAAUGGACAAUACAAAGGGCAGCGAAACCGCGAGGUCAAGCAAAUCCCAUAAAGUUGUUCUCAGUUCGGAUUGUAGUCUGCAACUCGACUACAUGAAGCUGGAAUCGCUAGUAAUCGUAGAUCAGCAUGCUACGGUGAAUACGUUCCC
RNAcentral lists this ribosomal RNA (1366 nucleotides) under Staphylococcus aureus. RNAcentral's name for it is "bacterial SSU rRNA". It matches the Rfam family "Bacterial small subunit ribosomal RNA", at positions 28 to 1375 of the family's 1533-position model. Lineage: Bacteria; Bacillati; Bacillota; Bacilli; Caryophanales; Staphylococcaceae. The record is from RNAcentral.